GGACUGUGGUUCAGUGGUAGAGCAUCUGAUUGGCAUGCAGAAUAUCCUAGGUUCAAUCCCCGGCAUCUCCA
This 71-nucleotide transfer RNA is filed under the name Sphaerodactylus townsendi. RNAcentral describes it as "tRNA-Ala". It matches the Rfam family "tRNA". From Rfam's summary of the family: Transfer RNA (tRNA) molecules are approximately 80 nucleotides in length. Their secondary structure includes four short double-helical elements and three loops (D, anti-codon, and T loops). Further hydrogen bonds mediate the characteristic L-shaped molecular structure. tRNAs have two regions of fundamental functional importance: the anti-codon, which is responsible for specific mRNA codon recognition, and the 3' end, to which the tRNAs corresponding amino acid is attached (by aminoacyl-tRNA synthetases). tRNAs cope with the degeneracy of the genetic code in two manners: having more than one tRNA (with a specific anti-codon) for a particular amino acid; and 'wobble' base-pairing, i.e. permitting non-standard base-pairing at the 3rd anti-codon position. Lineage: Eukaryota; Metazoa; Chordata; Lepidosauria; Squamata; Sphaerodactylidae. The record is from RNAcentral.